GGGUUGUGAGGUUAAGCGACUAAGCGUACACGGUGGAUGCCCUGGCAGUCAGAGGCGAUGAAGGACGUGCUAAUCUGCGAUAAGCGUCGGUAAGGUGAUAUGAACCGUUAUAACCGGCGAUUUCCGAAUGGGGAAACCCAGUGUGUUUCGACACAUUAUCAUUAACUGAAUCCAUAGGUUAAUGAGGCGAACCGGGGGAACUGAAACAUCUAAGUACCCCGAGGAAAAGAAAUCAACCGAGAUUCCCCCAGUAGCGGCGAGCGAACGGGGAGCAGCCCAGAGCCUGAAUCAGUGUGUGUGUUAGUGGAAGCGUCUGGAAAGGCGCGCGAUACAGGGUGACAGCCCCGUACACAAAAAUGCACAUGCUGUGAGCUCGAUGAGUAGGGCGGGACACGUGGUAUCCUGUCUGAAUAUGGGGGGACCAUCCUCCAAGGCUAAAUACUCCUGACUGACCGAUAGUGAACCAGUACCGUGAGGGAAAGGAGAAAAGAACCCCGGCGAGGGGAGUGAAAAAGAACCUGAAACCGUGUACGUACAAGCAGUGGGAGCACGCUUCGGCGUGUGACUGCGUACCUUUUGUAUAAUGGGUCAGCGACUUAUAUUCUGUAGCAAGGUUAACCGAAUAGGGGAGCCGAAGGGAAACCGAGUCUUAACUGGGCGUUAAGUUGCAGGGUAUAGACCCGAAACCCGGUGAUCUAGCCAUGGGCAGGUUGAAGGUUGGGUAACACUAACUGGAGGACCGAACCGACUAAUGUUGAAAAAUUAGCGGAUGACUUGUGGCUGGGGGUGAAAGGCCAAUCAAACCGGG
RNAcentral lists this ribosomal RNA (808 nucleotides) under Escherichia coli. Its description in RNAcentral is "bacterial LSU rRNA". It matches the Rfam family "Bacterial large subunit ribosomal RNA", at positions 1 to 842 of the family's 2925-position model. The record is from RNAcentral. Lineage: Bacteria; Pseudomonadati; Pseudomonadota; Gammaproteobacteria; Enterobacterales; Enterobacteriaceae.